UGAUUCUAGUGUCACUACCACAGGUGUUCAUGAGAAAUUUCUUCCAAGUGGGUGCAAAAGACCUUUGGAUUAUUUUAGGAGUUUUCAUGCAGGAUUUUAGUGAUUAAUAAGACAUGGAGAUUACCGAGAUCUUGAAGAUAACAACUUAAUUCUUCAGGUGUGCCAAGUCAGGAUUUGGG
RNAcentral lists this long non-coding RNA (179 nucleotides) under Anas platyrhynchos platyrhynchos (common mallard). RNAcentral's name for it is "lncRNA (ENSAPLG00000019340.1)". The record is from RNAcentral. Lineage: Eukaryota; Metazoa; Chordata; Aves; Anseriformes; Anatidae.